CAGCCGCCGCGGUAAUACCGGCGGCCCGAGUGGCGGUCACUAUUAUUGGGCUUAAAGCGUCCGUAGCCGGGUUGGGAAGUCCUCCGGGAAAUCUGGCCGCUUAACGGUCAGAAUGCCGGAGGAUACUCCCAGCCUAGGGAGCGGGAGAGGCCGAGGGUAUUCCCGGAGUAGGGGUGAAAUCCUAUAAUCCCGGGAGGACCACCUGUGGCGAAGGCGCUCGGCUGGAACGCGGCCGACGGUGAGGGACGAAGGCCAGGGGAGCAAACCGGAUUAGAUACCCGGGUAGUCCUGGCUGUAAACGAUGCGGACUUUGUGUCGGACAAGCUAUGAGCUUGUCCGGUGCCGGAGGGAAACCGUUAAGUCCGCCGCCUGGGGAGUACGGCCGCAAGGCUGAAACUUAAAGGAAUUGGCGGG
This 414-nucleotide ribosomal RNA is filed under the name uncultured microorganism. Its description in RNAcentral is "bacterial SSU rRNA". It matches the Rfam family "Archaeal small subunit ribosomal RNA", at positions 459 to 872 of the family's 1478-position model. The record is from RNAcentral.